UUCAGCGGCGGACGGGUGAGUAAUGCCUAGGAAUCUGCCCGAUAGUGGGGGACAACGUUUCGAAAGGAACGCUAAUACCGCAUACGUCCUACGGGAGAAAGUGGGGGAUCUUCGGACCUCACGCUAUCGGAUGAGCCUAGGUCGGAUUAGCUAGUUGGUGAGGUAAUGGCUCACCAAGGCGACGAUCCGUAACUGGUCUGAGAGGAUGAUCAGUCACACUGGAACUGAGACACGGUCCAGACUCCUACGGGAGGCAGCAGUGGGGAAUAUUGGACAAUGGGCGAAAGCCUGAUCCAGCCAUGCCGCGUGUGUGAAGAAGGUCUUCGGAUUGUAAAGCACUUUAAGUUGGGAGGAAGGGCUGUCGGCUAAUACCCUGCAGUUUUGACGUUACCAACAGAAUAAGCACCGGCUAACUUCGUGCCAGCAGCCGCGGUAAUACGAAGGGUGCAAGCGUUAAUCGGAAUUACUGGGCGUAAAGCGCGCGUAGGUGGUUCAGCAAGUUGGAUGUGAAAGCCCCGGGCUCAACCUGGGAACUGCAUCCAAAACUACUGAGCUAGAGUACGGUAGAGGGUGGUGGAAUUUCCUGUGUAGCGGUGAAAUGCGUAGAUAUAGGAAGGAACACCAGUGGCGAAGGCGACCACCUGGACUGAUACUGACACUGAGGUGCGAAAGCGUGGGGAGCAAACAGGAUUAGAUACCCUGGUAGUCCACGCCGUAAACGAUGUCAACUAGCUGUUGGGUUCCUUGAGAACUUAGUAGCGAAGCUAACGCGAUAAGUUGACCGCCUGGGG
This 791-nucleotide ribosomal RNA is filed under the name uncultured bacterium. RNAcentral describes it as "bacterial SSU rRNA". It matches the Rfam family "Bacterial small subunit ribosomal RNA", at positions 91 to 878 of the family's 1533-position model. The record is from RNAcentral.